GCUAUGGAGACUGCUCAAGGAACCAGAUGCCUGCAUGCAGGAUGAUUGUUUGCUACACUUCGAUCGGUCUUGAAGAUCAGCAUGAAUCAAUGACCUCACACAGUCACACUAGGUCCUGUUUACUUUUCUUCAAAAAAAAAAAUACAAAAAAAAACGCGACUACGCUAAUGAGCGAAUGUGCUCCAAUUCGACAGCCACUUCGCCAUUGUUGGCCAUUUUUUACCUUUCAUCCUCACACAACUACUAGCCAGUCUUGCCGCUGAUGUGACUUUUCCAUGGUUGUGAUUGUUUUUCAGCUUAACAUCAAUCACUUCAGCCAAUCUAUUCUCUUUAACAUCAACAAAUUUAAAAUAGUAAUGAAAUUCUUUUUGUCCGAAAAUUUAGUUUUUGAUAGUCAAUGAUGUCUGAAAUCUAUUACUUAACGGUACAUUAAUUUCUAUAAAAACCCUAUAGGGCUACUUUGUUUUAACAUUACUUCUUAAGUUUCAAUAUUAGUGAUGAU
Molecule: small RNA, 502 nt
Filed under: Arabidopsis thaliana (thale cress)
Lineage: Eukaryota; Viridiplantae; Streptophyta; Magnoliopsida; Brassicales; Brassicaceae
Description: putative long intergenic non-coding RNA
Source: RNAcentral